RNAcentral lists this ribosomal RNA (93 nucleotides) under Candidatus Equadaptatus faecalis. RNAcentral's name for it is "partial 16S ribosomal RNA". It matches the Rfam family "Bacterial small subunit ribosomal RNA", at positions 1 to 92 of the family's 1533-position model. The record is from RNAcentral. Lineage: Bacteria; Thermotogati; Synergistota; Synergistia; Synergistales; Synergistaceae.
CAAACGGAGAGUUUGAUCCUGGCUCAGGACGAACGCUGGCGGCGUGCCUAACACAUGCAAGUCGAACGGAGAGAAGGAGCUUGCUCCUUCAAU